AUUUAAAUAGCUUAUAAAAAAGUAUAAUAUUGAAGAUAUUAGGAAAAUUAAAAUUAAUUUUUAAAUA
This 67-nucleotide transfer RNA is filed under the name Pheidole fervida. Its description in RNAcentral is "tRNA-Phe". The record is from RNAcentral. Lineage: Eukaryota; Metazoa; Arthropoda; Insecta; Hymenoptera; Formicidae.